This 490-nucleotide ribosomal RNA is filed under the name uncultured bacterium. RNAcentral's name for it is "partial 16S ribosomal RNA". It matches the Rfam family "Bacterial small subunit ribosomal RNA", at positions 28 to 507 of the family's 1533-position model. The record is from RNAcentral.
GAUGAACGCUAGCUACAGGCUUAACACAUGCAAGUCGAGGGGCAGCAUGGUCUUAGCUUGCUAAGGCCGAUGGCGACCGGCGCACGGGUGAGUAUCACGUAUCCAACCUGCCGUCUACUCUUGGACAGCCUUCUGAAAGGAAGAUUAAUACAAGAUGGCAUCAUGAGUCCGCAUGUUCACAUGAUUAAAGGUAUUCCGGUAGACGAUGGGGAUGCGUUCCAUUAGAUAGUAGGCGGGGUAACGGCCCACCUAGUCUUCGAUGGAUAGGGGUUCUGAGAGGAAGGUCCCCCACAUUGGAACUGAGACACGGUCCAAACUCCUACGGGAGGCAGCAGUGAGGAAUAUUGGUCAAUGGGCGCAGGCCUGAACCAGCCAAGUAGCGUGAAGGAUGACUGCCCUAUGGGUUGUAAACUUCUUUUAUAAAGGAAUAAAGUCGGGUAUGUAUACCCGUUUGCAUGUACUUUAUGAAUAAGGAUCGGCUAACUCCGUG